Molecule: ribosomal RNA, 450 nt
Filed under: Bifidobacterium breve
Lineage: Bacteria; Bacillati; Actinomycetota; Actinomycetes; Bifidobacteriales; Bifidobacteriaceae
Description: bacterial SSU rRNA
Rfam family: Bacterial small subunit ribosomal RNA
Source: RNAcentral
UCGCGUCCUAUCAGCUUGAUGGCGGGGUAACGGCCCACCAUGGCUUCGACGGGUAGCCGGCCUGAGAGGGCGACCGGCCACAUUGGGACUGAGAUACGGCCCAGACUCCUACGGGAGGCAGCAGUGGGGAAUAUUGCACAAUGGGCGCAAGCCUGAUGCAGCGACGCCGCGUGAGGGAUGGAGGCCUUCGGGUUGUAAACCUCUUUUGUUAGGGAGCAAGGCAUUUUGUGUUGAGUGUACCUUUCGAAUAAGCACCGGCUAACUACGUGCCAGCAGCCGCGGUAAUACGUAGGGUGCAAGCGUUAUCCGGAAUUAUUGGGCGUAAAGGGCUCGUAGGCGGUUCGUCGCGUCCGGUGUGAAAGUCCAUCGCUUAACGGUGGAUCCGCGCCGGGUACGGGCGGGCUUGAGUGCGGUAGGGGAGACUGGAAUUCCCGGUGUAACGGUGGAAUG